This 440-nucleotide ribosomal RNA is filed under the name uncultured bacterium. Its description in RNAcentral is "partial 16S ribosomal RNA". It matches the Rfam family "Bacterial small subunit ribosomal RNA", at positions 338 to 795 of the family's 1533-position model. The record is from RNAcentral.
CCUACGGGAGGCAGCAGUGGGGAAUAUUGCACAAUGGGGGAAACCCUGAUGCAGCGACGCCGCGUGAGUGAAGAAGUAUUUCGGUACGUAAAGCUCUAUCAGCAGGGAAGAAAAUGACGGUACCUGACUAAGAAGCCCCGGCUAACUACGUGCCAGCAGCCGCGGUAAUACGUAGGGGGCAAGCGUUAUCCGGAUUUACUGGGGGUAAAGGGAGCGUAGACGGCAGCGCAAGGCUGGAGUGAAAUCCCAUGGCUUAACCAUGGAACUGCUUUGGAAACGGUGCAGCUAGAGUGCAGGAGGGGUAAGCGGAAUUCCUAGUGUAGCGGUGAAAUGCGUAGAUAUUAGGAGGAACACCAGUGGCGAAGGCGGCUUACUGGACUGUAACUGACGUUGAGGCUCGAAAGCGUGGGGAGCAAACAGGAUUAGAUACCCUUGUAGUC